This 253-nucleotide ribosomal RNA is filed under the name uncultured bacterium. Its description in RNAcentral is "partial 16S ribosomal RNA". It matches the Rfam family "Bacterial small subunit ribosomal RNA", at positions 524 to 776 of the family's 1533-position model. The record is from RNAcentral.
UACAGGGGGUGCAAACGUUGCUCGGAAUUACUGGGCGUAAAGCGCACGUAGGCGGCUUCUUAAGUCGGAGGUGAAAUCCUGGAGCUCAACUCCAGAACUGCCUUCGAUACUGGGAAGCUCGAGUCCGGGAGAGGUGAGUGGAACUGCGAGUGUAGAGGUGAAAUUCGUAGAUAUUCGCAAGAACACCAGUGGCGAAGGCGGCUCACUGGCCCGGUACUGACGCUGAGGUGCGAAAGCGUGGGGAGCAAACAGG